This 496-nucleotide ribosomal RNA is filed under the name uncultured bacterium. RNAcentral's name for it is "partial 16S ribosomal RNA". It matches the Rfam family "Bacterial small subunit ribosomal RNA", at positions 28 to 506 of the family's 1533-position model. The record is from RNAcentral.
GAUGAACGCUGGCGGCGUGCCUAAUACAUGCAAGUCGAGCGAACGGACGAGAAGCUUGCUUUUCUGAUGUUAGCGGCGGACGGGUGGGUAACACGUGGAUAACCUACCUAUAAGACUGGGAUAACUUCGGGAAACCGGAGCUAAUACCGGAUAAUAUUUUGAACCGCAUGGUUCAAAAGUGAAAGACGGUCUUGCUGUCACUUAUAGAUGGAUCCGCGCUGCAUUAGCUAGUUGGUAAGGUAACGGCUUACCAAGGCAACGAUGCAUAGCCGACCUGAGAGGGUGAUCGGCCACACUGGAACUGAGACACGGUCCAGACUCCUACGGGAGGCAGCAGUAGGGAAUCUUCCGCAAUGGGCGAAAGCCUGACGGAGCAACGCCGCGUGAGUGAUGAAGGUCUUCGGAUCGUAAAACUCUGUUAUUAGGGAAGAACAUAUGUGUAAGUAACUGUGCACAUCUUGACGGUACCUAAUCAGAAAGCCACGGCUAACUACGU